AGAAUCAACGCUGGCGGCGUGCCUAACACAUGCAAGUCGCACGAGAAAGGGGAGCAAUCCCUGAGUAAAGUGGCGCACGGGUGAGUAACACGUGAAUUAUCUACCUCCGAGUGGGGAAUAACCUAGAGAAAUCUGGGCUAAUACCGCAUAACACUUACGAGUCAAAGCAGCAAUGCGCUUGGAGAGGAGUUCGCGGCCGAUUAGUUAGUUGGCGGGGUAAUGGCCCACCAAGACGAUGAUCGGUA
Molecule: ribosomal RNA, 245 nt
Filed under: uncultured bacterium
Lineage: Bacteria
Description: partial small subunit ribosomal RNA
Rfam family: Bacterial small subunit ribosomal RNA
Source: RNAcentral